RNAcentral lists this ribosomal RNA (494 nucleotides) under uncultured bacterium. RNAcentral describes it as "partial 16S ribosomal RNA". It matches the Rfam family "Bacterial small subunit ribosomal RNA", at positions 28 to 507 of the family's 1533-position model. The record is from RNAcentral.
GACGAACGCUGGCGGCGUGCCUAAUACAUGCAAGUAGAACGCUGAAGGAGGAGCUUGCUCUUCUGGAUGAGUUGCGAACGGGUGAGUAACGCGUAGGUAACCUGCCUGGUAGCGGGGGAUAACUAUUGGAAACGAUAGCUAAUACCGCAUACAGUAGAUGUUGCAUGACAUUUACUUAAAAGGUGCAAUUGCAUCACUACCAGAUGGACCUGCGUUGUAUUAGCUAGUUGGUGGGGUAACGGCUCACCAAGGCGACGAUACAUAGCCGACCUGAGAGGGUGAUCGGCCACACUGGGACUGAGACACGGCCCAGACUCCUACGGGAGGCAGCAGUAGGGAAUCUUCGGCAAUGGACGGAAGUCUGACCGAGCAACGCCGCGUGAGUGAAGAAGGUUUUCGGAUCGUAAAGCUCUGUUGUAAGAGAAGAACGAGUGUGAGAGUGGAAAGUUCACACUGUGACGGUAGCUUACCAGAAAGAGACGGCUAACUACGUG